GUUGGCCAGGCUGGUCUCGAACUCCUGGCCUCAAGUGAUCUACCCUCCUGGGCCUCCCAAAGUGCUGGGAUUACAGGCAUGAGCCACUUCGCCCAGACUUGUUUGUUUUUAAAAUUCAUUUAACUUCCUUUAAGCAUAAAAGGGAAUUUAUUGGAAGAGUCCUGGAGUAGCACACAAAACUCAAGGCCAAGAACUACAGCCGGAGCUACAUGAAGGCCUGGAACCAGGAAAGUUGCCUGGACAGGAGGUCGCUUGGGAAGGUUUCUUCUUCCUUAUUCUCUGCCUGGAAUUGUCUAGGGAUUGCUGGCUGAUGGUAAGAGGGUUUUGAUGGGGGAGUAAAGUCUAGUUCUGUCAAAGAGCAUUUGUAGGUUAGGGACAAACUGUUGUUCAGUUGGAAGAGGG
This 402-nucleotide long non-coding RNA is filed under the name Macaca fascicularis (crab-eating macaque). RNAcentral's name for it is "lncRNA (ENSMFAG00000054635.1)". Lineage: Eukaryota; Metazoa; Chordata; Mammalia; Primates; Cercopithecidae. The record is from RNAcentral.